RNAcentral lists this ribosomal RNA (253 nucleotides) under uncultured bacterium. Its description in RNAcentral is "partial 16S ribosomal RNA". It matches the Rfam family "Bacterial small subunit ribosomal RNA", at positions 524 to 776 of the family's 1533-position model. The record is from RNAcentral.
UACGUAGGGUGCGAGCGUUGUCCGGAAUUACUGGGCGUAAAGAGCUCGUAGGCGGUUUGUCACGUCGUCUGUGAAAUCCUAGGGCUUAACCCUGGACGUGCAGGCGAUACGGGCUGACUUGAGUACUACAGGGGAGACUGGAAGUUCUGGUGUAGCGGUGGAAUGCACAGAUAUCAGGAAGAACACCGAUGGCGAAGGCAGGUCUCUGGGUAGUAACUGACGCUGAGGAGCGAAAGCAUGGGUAGCGAACAGG